GGAUAUACGCUGCAGUUGCAUCCUGCUGCCUGAUCUGCAUUGCUGUAUCUUUGGCAGAAAUACCCAGCAUAUAUCAUACAGGAUGCAGGGAGAGACUGAACAAUUCUAAACCUUGGAUAGCCAUCCAGAGCAUCUUGCUGUAUGGCUGGAUGGGACAGGAAAGAACAGAAAAUCUCAAGCCUCCAGCAACAACUGGAAGUAGACAUCGUUGGAGACUGGACCCUGGACUACAGAACCAGCCUGUGCCUGCUGCAGAGCAUCUGUGGUCCCACAGGUCGGUGUCUGUGCAGAAACAGAGGAGCGUUGCACAGCAAAGCUCCUGAUGCUCCUGACACUCAUGCUGACUGCCCAGAAAAAAUCAUCUUACACGCUAAUUACAUUACAGUGAUUUAUGUGCCCUGGCAUCCAAAAGUGGUCAGAGCUUGUGGAAAGGACUUUUUUAAAAAAACUUUUCAUAAUGAAAAGAGCACAUUCUUCCUAAUUACUAGUGAAGCCACUGCUCCUACUAAGUACUAAUAUAGGCAUUUCUUCUGCAGCCCUCCAGGGUGAGGCUUUGUUUUCUCAAGUUAUCUGCAUUAUGAGCAAGAAACAAGCUGUAGACCACACUGCAAUUCCCAGCAGUGCUGAGCUUUUACUUCCAAGUGAAGUACCUGAAGUGCUCCUGACCUCUGGAAGUUGCCUUCUGGCUGAUAACUAAUUAUAUUAUCUGGCUGAUAUUAAUUAGUUAUUACAACAAUUAUUAUAAUAUUUAUAUUAGUCAUUAACAUGCUAAUUGUAAUAAUUAUUCUAAGUUAUUAUUGUAACUAAUUAUUAUUAUCUGGAUGAUAAUAAGAUUUCUGAUCUGUUUCUGCAGGGCUCUGUCCUGGCAGGAUACUCUCCCCUCUCCUUGUAUAUACGCUCUCCCAGAGCAUCUCCAAGUACCACUUGGGUGUCAUAAAUUUUCAUUAUGCAUGUAAGAGAAAUAUAUAAGAGAAGGUAGGUAUGUUUGGAAAGAAAACAUGACUGCUUUAGCCCUCCACUGCAGCACUACAGAACAGGAAAGGACCAACAGGAUAGCCGAGUGAAACCACAGCCGUAAUUGUAGUGGAGUGGUUUCAUAAAGAACUGCUAUAUUUAUGAUUACGAGUGCAUAAGAGCUCUUACAGAAACUGUUCUCUAACCAUUUUGUCUCUCUUAGCACUUUGGAAGGGUGAGGCUAAAUUUGUGUUUUAAAAAUUGCACCAAAAACGAUUGGAUUAUAUUACAGAGUGAUGUACUGUAUCGUGUUCUCUGCUAGUCCUAAAUUGACUGAAAGCCUCUUUAAGCUGUCAGACUCCUAAGACAGUAUCAAAGACACUGUAAAAGAAUCAGGAUUUUUUUUAGGAAAAGAGUUGCUAUAUAAAGAUUUUUUUCUGAGUGUUUUUGUGAGAGGGGCAACCCCAUUGACUGGAAUUCCUGUGCUCCAAAAGCAGUGCACAACAUAUGCCAAGAACUGUGGCAAUGAUAAAAGCAGCGUAAGAACACCACGAGGCACUGAAAGCCUGGAAAUUCUGUUUUUGAAAGGAAACGUGGUGGAAACUGGAAAAAGCUUUACAGGAAAGUGGCGUUGCUAUCCUGAUACUGUGUCCUGCCUGGAAGAAGAAAUUAUCUCAAAGCAAACACCCAGAGACCAUCACACAAAGGAACAAACAAACCAAACCAAACCAAAAAAAAAACUCCUUUUCACAGAAGCACUGAAAUUAAAGCAGAGAAAGCUUAAUUUCCAUAGGCAGAGCAGGGCUGCAGAGAGCAGCGUUACACUUCUUUGCUUCCAUAUUAGUUCAUUAGAGGGGUCUGCGACAUCUGGCCCGCACGCCCUGACCCUACUGGUGAUGAAUGGAUUUAAUCUCUGGCAUGUGACACUGGCGUUCGUGAUUCCUGCAGGUUAAUUGAUUUCUUUUGGCAAAGCACAGCUCCAAGUCCCGUUGUCUGAGCAGCACGACUGACUGCAGAGAGAAAAUAAGGCGUCUUGAAAAAGAAAUUCUCCCAUACCCAGCAAAUAACAGGUAGGAUAUGAGAGAGGCUUGGCCAGGCAGGCAGUUAUCGUUGCCAAAGGUGCGCGGUGCCAAGUGCAGAUGGCCUGUCAGAUAGCUGGGAGAUGGACACUGGGUUUGAGUCCAGCACGGAGCUCUAAGCUGCUAAUAGCAAAAUACUCACUUGUCUUCUCUCACAGGCAGACAUGCAGCUAAUAACAAAUCCUUCUCUGUAAAUUCUUCCAAGAAGACCACCAAACCCUGUCAGCAAGAGCAGACGGGACCCAGUCGACAGCACAGACACCACGCACAUGGCAGGCAGAGAAGCCUUACUCAGCAGCUGCCAACCUUAUUAAAGAUACUGCCUUACUGUUCAGCAGUGUGUCAAGCCGGAAUUAAGCUGCCGUCUCCAGAAAUCUGAUGGUAGGAUGACAGAGUAUUUUUAACAUGGGAGUGGGCAUAUCCAGAAAGAAUGCAGAAGUCAUUCGAGAGAGAUUGCUUUGUUAGCCAUUGUUUAUGGCAACUGCUCUACAACUGGGACAGAUUGCAACGGUAGGAUCAGGAACUGAGUAAUGUAAAAUUCAGAAAUGAGGGUGAAUCGGACCAGGAAAGAGAAGGAUGCUGAAAAAGAGAGUACAGCAAAAGCAGGUCUGAUGCCUGCAUAACUAAGGUUCUUCACUAAGUGGACCAGUGACUGGUUUGGGAGCUGGCAUGCUUUGGGAGGAACAGAGUACAACCAAAUCUGCUCAGGCUAGACAACAACAGACAAAAAUAAACACAUUUAUUCAGGAUAAAAGAGAGCUGUAGGUUGUGAUCUCUCUACUACUUACUACCCUAUCACCAAAUUGUGUUUUUGGCUCCCAGCUGCAAUAAAAGUCACCCUGAGCACCUAGAAACUUCUGUUCAUCUUGCCAUGUCCCCAAGGGAUCAGCACUGCUUAGACUUGCUUGUACAGCUCAUGUCUGGCAUUACAGGAACAGAGCCGAAAGGCAGCCAGAGCAGUUCCCAUCCUCCUGGCUCCCCAGGCUCUGGAGGCCCGUAGGAUCCCAUACAGGUUUUCAUGUCUUCUCCAGAUUCUCUGCUGUACCAUUGCCCUCUUCUUUCUCUUAGGAGGUUCUUCCUAACAUCUAAUCUCCAACUUCACUUACUGCAACUUAAAGCCUUUAUAAGCAGAUAGUAACAAAGCGGGCACACGCCUGUCAUGCCACAUCCCCAAAGCCACACCAAAGUUCAACUAUGCAAGGCUUAAGCUUCUUACAAGAUACAUGAUGAGGUCUUGUUUGUCUUGUUUUCUCCAGCAUGUUUAAACACUUCAUCAUAGGUGGAAUAGAUACCUAUAGGCACCAGGAGAGGAAAAACUUUAUCUUGUAUUUGUGUGUGUUAGUAAAAGGAAGGUGGAGCUGCUCUUACAGGGACUCAGGACAGCAUUUUGGCACUGCUUUCAAAUCUCUUGCAUCCAUCUGAUAAGAUGGUGUGAGCCAGAGAGUGUCACCCAAACUGUUCACACGCUUGUGUCAAUUUCCAAACACCUUUUUUGCCUUGUAGCUGUAUCAUUUCUAGUGACAGUGACAUGCCAGGGCCACUCUCUUCAACGUACAGCAAGGUAUGCUCUGCUCUCUUGGUCUGUGCAAUUAUCACAGGCUGCUAAAAUGUCCACAUAGUUUUUUUUUGCUCCACGUAUCUACAUGUGUCACUAAACCGAUGCAAACACUUGUGCAGUGAGAUCUACACGGGUGAAGCUCAGUCACACAAAGUUCCCGUUGCUGUGGCUGUCUGAUGCAGCACUGCUGCUACCACAGCAUGUCUACGCCAUUGUUCCUCUACCGCUGCAAAUGGCUCUCGCAGCCACUUCACAGGAAUGAUAACCUCCUCCUCCUCCUCCCAGUGGGAGCAAGGCAAAGGCAACCUCCAGCUAGCUCCAGACUAGUCACCUGCCCGCAUAUUCAGCAUGCCAUUAUACACAGGUACUCUUAUUGUUCAACAAUUAGGAGAAAGAGACUAACCCCAGGAGUGUGUAUGUCAUGUGGAAGCGUCUUCUGAAUUACUGUAGUUGCCAACCGUGAGGUGGUCCGAAUCGGUUUCUUUACUGCAAAACAGUAGCUGUUUUUUACAAGCUGUAAGAAGGGACUGGGUAAGACUAUCUUUAGUACAGUGACCCUUGAGCGCGUGUGUCCCCACAUACACAGCUUCCUUCCUUCUUGCCUGCUGUGCUGUAGAUUAGAGGGGGUGAGCAGGACACAGGGGGCUGAGGUGGCACUCUGGGCUCAAAGCUGACCACCAAGCUCUGUAAGGUAUCUCUUGCUGUCCACCUAGCAGUCCACAGGUCCAGCACACAGCAGCCCCUCACGGAUGGCCUGGCCUGUGGCAUGCUCACG
This 4366-nucleotide long non-coding RNA is filed under the name Anas zonorhyncha (Eastern spot-billed duck). RNAcentral's name for it is "lncRNA (ENSAZOG00000006092.1)". Lineage: Eukaryota; Metazoa; Chordata; Aves; Anseriformes; Anatidae. The record is from RNAcentral.